UACUGGAGUAAUGCUGGUUGUCAUUUCAGUUUGUUUAAACUUACUCCAAAAUAAGUAGGAAGCCAGACCUCUUAUUUCUCUUCUUUUAACCUGCCCAUACAGUAUAGAAAGGAGUGGGAGAGAAAGGGUAACAACUGCCCACUUCUGAGACAGCCGAGUGGCCCAGCAUUGUAGCAACUUGGCAUUCUGCUUAGCAGUGGCCUCCAUGGUGACAGGGGCCUCUGUCAUCAGGACUGAUGCUAAGGACCCGAGGGAGAGCCCAGACCUGUCCAAAGGAGAAAGGAAGCAAGAAGGGUCCUGAGUGUGGACUGUCCGCAGAAAACACAACCAGGAUGGAGUGGGGAGGAAGCCUUAGACUAGCCAGAGCACUGGGCAUUUGGGCACUGGAAGGGCCAGAAGGAGAAGUUUUACAGGCCAGGACCUGCUCAGCACUUGAGCUGGGCACGGAGUCACAGGCUGUUCAUCACCAACGGCUCAAGAACACCUACAGGUAGGCAAUCUGGCCGCUAACCCGGCCAGGAUUGGGGAGUGGGAGUGUGGGCGAGGAAGGCGACAGCAGUCGGGCAUGAUUUGUGCAGAGACUAUUUGCCAAGGGCAUAGCAAACUCAAAUGCUUCCAGGCGAGUGGGCUCGUGCAGAGGUGGCUCGGGCAGCGCCUACCCAAGGCAACCAAAUUCAACACAGUGUCCUCGGGGCUGGGGAUGAGAAACUGAGGCCCAGAGAGACUCUACGUGAUUUCUGUUCAGCUCUGAAGCCAGAGCAUUUCCCAGGCCACCAGGUCGUCCCCGGCCAGAGCCGGCUGCG
This is a long non-coding RNA of Lemur catta (Ring-tailed lemur), 803 nucleotides long. RefSeq lists it as uncharacterized. The transcript is spliced from 3 exons. The record is from RefSeq and is a predicted model, not a curated record. NCBI's taxonomy places the organism in Eukaryota, Metazoa, Chordata, Mammalia, Primates, Lemuridae.